AUAUAAAUAAGCUAAUAAAGCUUUCAGGCUCAUACCCUGACUAUAUAAAUUCCAACUUUUUUUUAUAUA
Molecule: transfer RNA, 69 nt
Filed under: Andrena nigroaenea
Lineage: Eukaryota; Metazoa; Arthropoda; Insecta; Hymenoptera; Andrenidae
Description: tRNA-Met
Source: RNAcentral